RNAcentral lists this ribosomal RNA (497 nucleotides) under uncultured bacterium. RNAcentral's name for it is "partial 16S ribosomal RNA". It matches the Rfam family "Bacterial small subunit ribosomal RNA", at positions 29 to 507 of the family's 1533-position model. The record is from RNAcentral.
AAUGAACGCUGGCGGCAUGCCUAACACAUGCGAGUCGAACGAACGGGCGGGAUUCGGGCUGCCCUGGUGUGGGCAACGGACGGGUGAUUCACACGUGGGUAACCUAUCUAUAAGGCUGGGAUAACGACAGCAGACCGUAUCUAAUACCCGACAAUAUUGUGAACCGGAUGGUUCAAGAGUGAAAGACGGUCUUGCGGUGACUUAUAGAUGUAUCCGCGCUGCAUUAGCUAGUUGGUAGGGUAACGGCUUACCAAGGCAACGAUGCAUAGCCGACCUGAGAGGGUGAACAGCCACACUGGGACUGAGACACGGCCCAGACUCCGACGGGAGGCAGCAGUAGGGAAUCUUGCGCAAUGGGCGAAAGCCUGAUCGAGCAACGCCGCGUGAGUGAUGAAGGUCUUCGGAUCGUAAAACUCUGUUGGCAGGGAAGAACAUAUGUGUACGUAACUGUGCAUACCUUGACGGUACCCGAAGAAAAAGCACCGGCUAACUACGUG